This 208-nucleotide ribosomal RNA is filed under the name uncultured bacterium. Its description in RNAcentral is "partial 16S ribosomal RNA". It matches the Rfam family "Bacterial small subunit ribosomal RNA", at positions 568 to 774 of the family's 1533-position model. The record is from RNAcentral.
CAUGCAGGCGGUUUAUCAAGUAGGAUGUGAAAGCCCCGGGCUCAACCUGGGAAUUGCAUUCUAAACUGAUAGACUAGAGUAUUGCAGGGGGAGGACGGAAUUCCAGGUGUAGCGGUGGAAUGCGUAGAUAUCUGGAAGAACACCAAAGGCGAAGGCAGUCUCCUGGGCAAAUACUGACGCUCAUAUGCGAAAGCGUGGGUAGCAAACA